This 433-nucleotide ribosomal RNA is filed under the name uncultured bacterium. RNAcentral describes it as "partial 16S ribosomal RNA". It matches the Rfam family "Bacterial small subunit ribosomal RNA", at positions 29 to 507 of the family's 1533-position model. The record is from RNAcentral.
AACGAACGCUGGCGGCAGGCCUAACACAUGCAAGUCGAGCGGACCCUUCGGGGUUAGCGGCGGACGGGUGAGUAACGCGUGGGAAUAUGCCCUUCUCUACGGAAUAGUCCUGGGAAACUGGGGGUAAUACCGUAUACGCCCUUUGGGGGCAAGAUUGAUCGGGGAAGGAUUAGCCCGCGUUGGAUUAGGUAGUUGGUGGGGUAAUGGCCUACCAAGCCGACGAUACAUAGCUGGUUUGAGAGGAAGAGCAGCCACACUGGGACUGAGACACGGCCCGGACUCUUACGCGAGGGGGCAGAGGCUGAUCUUAGCCAAUCGCGUCAAUGCUGAUGUAGCCAUGCUUGGUGAGUGAUGAAGUCCGUAGGGUAGUACAGCUCUUUCAGCUGGGGAGAUAAUGACGGUACCAGAAGAAGAAGCCCCGGCUAACUCCGUG